AUCUUGAUAGCUUAAGUUAAAGCGCUACUUUGAAGCAGUAAGGAUAAAUGUAUUUUUCAAGAUG
Molecule: transfer RNA, 64 nt
Filed under: Columbicola passerinae
Lineage: Eukaryota; Metazoa; Arthropoda; Insecta; Psocodea; Philopteridae
Description: tRNA-Phe
Source: RNAcentral